UACAGAGGGGGCAAGCGUUAUUCGGAAUUAUUGGGCGUAAAGGGUGCGUAGGCGGCCCGGUAAGUUAGUGGUGAAAGCCUCCAGCUCAACUGGAGAACUGCCAUUGAUACUGCCGGGCUUGAGUACAGACGAGGUUGGCGGAAUUGAUUGUGUAGCGGUGAAAUGCAUAGAUACAAUCAAGAACUCCGAUUGCGUAGGCAGCUAACUAGGCUGUAACUGACGCUGAGGCACGAAAAGCGUGGGGAGCGAACAGG
This 254-nucleotide ribosomal RNA is filed under the name uncultured bacterium. RNAcentral's name for it is "partial 16S ribosomal RNA". It matches the Rfam family "Bacterial small subunit ribosomal RNA", at positions 524 to 776 of the family's 1533-position model. The record is from RNAcentral.